Molecule: non-coding RNA, 177 nt
Filed under: Desulfobacterales bacterium
Lineage: Bacteria; Pseudomonadati; Thermodesulfobacteriota; Desulfobacteria; Desulfobacterales
Description: 6S RNA
Rfam family: 6S / SsrS RNA
About the family: E. coli 6S RNA was the first non coding RNA to be sequenced, but its function was unknown until recently. It consists of 184 nucleotides that fold into an extended hairpin structure with a large single-stranded internal bulge.
Source: RNAcentral
UUUCCCCUGUUGUGUUCGUGAUUGGAAGAAGUGCUUUGACCCAACAGAAAAUAUAAGGGAUUUAUCUCUAAUUUCAGUGUGCGAAUCAAUUUUUUUGAUUUACCUAAAGAAAUCACAUAAUUCCCCCUUGAACAGUGGUUCAAGGACCUUACAACACGGCACUUUGGCAGGGGAUUA